UCGAAGCGAUGGAUCAACGCCUCGAGCCC
RNAcentral lists this small RNA (29 nucleotides) under Bombyx mori (domestic silkworm). Its description in RNAcentral is "ovarian small RNA-7469". The record is from RNAcentral. Lineage: Eukaryota; Metazoa; Arthropoda; Insecta; Lepidoptera; Bombycidae.